UCUAAUAUGGCAGAAUAGUGCGCUGGAUUUAAGCCCCAAAUAUAAAGUUUUUUCUUUUUUUAGAA
Molecule: transfer RNA, 65 nt
Filed under: Priasilpha obscura
Lineage: Eukaryota; Metazoa; Arthropoda; Insecta; Coleoptera; Phloeostichidae
Description: tRNA-Leu
Source: RNAcentral